Molecule: ribosomal RNA, 173 nt
Filed under: uncultured bacterium
Lineage: Bacteria
Description: partial 16S ribosomal RNA
Rfam family: Bacterial small subunit ribosomal RNA
Source: RNAcentral
GGAAUCGCUAGUAAUCGCAAAUCAGCAUGUUGCGGUGAAUCCGUUCCCGGGUCUUGUACACACCGCCCGUCACACCAUGGGAGUUGGAAACGCCCGAAGUCAGUGGCCGAACCGAAAGGGAGGAGCUGCCGAAGGCGGGUCGAAUAACUGGGGUGAAGUCGUAACAAGGUAAC